Molecule: ribosomal RNA, 1490 nt
Filed under: human metagenome
Description: bacterial LSU rRNA
Rfam family: Bacterial large subunit ribosomal RNA
Source: RNAcentral
GAACAAGUACCGUGAGGGAAAGGUGAAAAGAACCCCGGGAGGGGAGUGAAAUAGAAACUGAAACCGUAUGCUUACAAAAAGUUCGAGCACAUUAAUGUGUGAGAGCGUGCCUUUUGCAGAAUGAACCGGCGAGUUAUUGUAUUAUGCAAGGUUAAGUCGAACAGAUGGAGCCGAAGCGAAAGCAAGUCUGAAUAGGGCGCUUUAGUAUGAUGCAAUAGACCCGAAACCGAGUGAUCUAGCCAUGAGCAGGUUGAAGUUGGGGUAAGACCCAAUGGAGGACCGAACCGAUAUGCCCGGAAACGCGUACGGAUGACUUGUGGUUAGCGGAGAAAUUCCAAACGAACUCGGAGAUAGCUGGUUCUCCCCGAAAUAGGUUUAGGCCUAGCCUUGAUUGAAUCUGCCCGGAGGUAGAGCACUGAAUGUGCGAUGGCGUCGUCUAGAUGUACUGAGUACAAUCAAACUCCGAAUGCUGGGUAGUACUAAUCAGGAGUCACUGUAUGGGUGAUAACGUCCAUACGGGAGAGGAAAAGAAUCCGGAUCGCCAGCUAAGGUCCCAAAAUUUGUGUUAAGUGGGAAAGGAUGUAGAGUUGUCAAAACAGCUAGGAGGUUGGCUUAGAAGCAGCCACCCUUUAAAGAGUGCGUAAUAGCUCACUAGUCGAGUGACACUGCGCCGAAGAUGUACCGGGGCUAAACACAAUACCGAAGCUGCGGACUUGUACUUAUGUGCAAGUGGUAGGGGAGCGUUCUAAGGGCUGUGAAGGUAGACCGUAAGGACUGCUGGAGCGUUUAGAAGUGAGAAUGCCGGUGUGAGUAACGAAAAUUGGGUGAGAAUCCCAUUCACCGUUUGACUAAGGUUUCCUGGGUAAAGUUCGUCUUCCCAGGGUUAGUCAGGACCUAAGAUGAGGCUGAAAAGCGUAGUCGAUGGACAACAGGUUUAUAUUCCUGUACCACCUAUGUAACUGAUGGAGUGACGGAGAAAGCUAAUGAGAGCCAGUUAUUGGAUUCUGGUCUAAGUGCGUAGGCUAGUAUGUUGGGAAAUCCGCAAUACUAUUACAGCUGAAACAUGAUGGGGAAGUGAUCCUUCGGGUGAGCAAACUUUCAUGAUGCUACGCUUCCAAGAAAAGCUUCUAGGGCUAAUUGCAUAGGUGCCUGUACCGACAACCGACACAGGUGGUCAAGGAGAGUAUCCUAAGGUGAGCGAGAGAACUAUGGUUAAGGAACUCGGCAAAAUGACCCCGUAACUUCGGGAGAAGGGGUGGUCUAGCGAUAGACCCGCAGUGAAUAGGCCCAGGCAACUGUUUACCAAAAACACAGGUCUCUGCUAACACGUAAGUGGAUGUAUAGGGGCUGACGCCUGCCCAGUGCUGGAAGGUUAAAGAGAUUAGUUAGUAUGACGCAAGUCGAUAAUACGAAGCUUUGAACUGAAGCCCCAGUGAACGGCGGCCGUAACUAUAACGGUCCUAAGGUAGCGAAAUUCCUUGUCAGGUAAG